This 24-nucleotide non-coding RNA is filed under the name Arabidopsis thaliana (thale cress). The record is from RNAcentral. Lineage: Eukaryota; Viridiplantae; Streptophyta; Magnoliopsida; Brassicales; Brassicaceae.
GUCGAAGAAGCAGAAAAAGAGUGG